AAAUUGAAGAGUUUGAUCAUGGCUCAGAUUGAACGCUGGCGGCAGGCCUAACACAUGCAAGUCGAGCGGAAACGAGUUAUCAGAACCUUCGGGGGAC
Molecule: ribosomal RNA, 97 nt
Filed under: Vibrio parahaemolyticus
Lineage: Bacteria; Pseudomonadati; Pseudomonadota; Gammaproteobacteria; Vibrionales; Vibrionaceae
Description: partial 16S ribosomal RNA
Rfam family: Bacterial small subunit ribosomal RNA
Source: RNAcentral